Molecule: ribosomal RNA, 376 nt
Filed under: uncultured bacterium
Lineage: Bacteria
Description: bacterial SSU rRNA
Rfam family: Bacterial small subunit ribosomal RNA
Source: RNAcentral
AUACGUAGGUGGCGAGCGUUGUCCGGAAUUACUGGGUGUAAAGGGAGCGUAGGCGGGUCGGCAAGUCAGUGGUGAAAUACAUGGGCUUAACCCAUGAAUUGCCAUUGAAACUGCCGGUCUUGAGUGGAUCAGAGGCAAGCGGAAUUCCGAGUGUAGCGGUGAAAUGCGUAGAUAUUCGGAGGAACACCAGUGGCGAAGGCGGCUUGCUGGGGUCUAACUGACGCUGAGGCUCGAAAGUGUGGGGAGCAAACAGGAUUAGAUACCCUGGUAGUCCACACUGUAAACGAUGAUUACUAGGUGUGGGGGGUCUGACCCCCUCCGUGCCGGAGUUAACGCAAUAAGUAAUCCACCUGGGGAGUACGGCCGCAAGGUUGAA